CAGGCAUUUACCUUACUAUCUGUUUUCAUCCGCAAGUCGUCAAUCAUCACUUGAUCUCUCACGACAAGAAAAGGAUGGAAGCAAGAUGUUCAUUCUUUCACACGACAAAACCGACCACCACUUGGAAGUUUUUGUUCUGUACAGUACUGGAACAUUAUCUGUUCCAUAAAUUCCUUCUAUUCAUUUGCCGACCGAUAUAUUUCAGUGCCAGCAACUCCUGUCUUUGGGUUUUCUGUACGGAUG
Molecule: unclassified non-coding RNA, 243 nt
Filed under: Hevea brasiliensis (rubber tree)
Lineage: Eukaryota; Viridiplantae; Streptophyta; Magnoliopsida; Malpighiales; Euphorbiaceae
Source: RNAcentral